RNAcentral lists this ribosomal RNA (253 nucleotides) under uncultured bacterium. Its description in RNAcentral is "partial 16S ribosomal RNA". It matches the Rfam family "Bacterial small subunit ribosomal RNA", at positions 524 to 776 of the family's 1533-position model. The record is from RNAcentral.
UACAGAGGGGGCAAGCGUUGUUCGGAAUUACUGGGCGUAAAGGGCUCGUAGGUGGCCAACUAAGUCAGACGUGAAAUCCCCAGGCUUAACCUGGGAACUGCGUCUGAUACUGGAUGGCUUGAAUUCGGGAGAGGGAUGCAGAAUUCCAGGUGUAGCGGUGAAAUGCGUAGAUAUCUGGAGGAAUACCGGUGGCGAAGGCGGCAUCCUGGACCGAGAUUGACACUGAUGAGCGAAAGCCAGGGGAGCAAACGGG